Molecule: long non-coding RNA, 35847 nt
Filed under: Medicago truncatula (barrel medic)
Lineage: Eukaryota; Viridiplantae; Streptophyta; Magnoliopsida; Fabales; Fabaceae
Description: long non-coding RNA (MTRU_LNC001459)
Source: RNAcentral
AAAUGUUGGAUCUUUCUUCAAAACAAGUUAAAUGGAUCAAUCCCACCUUUAAGUAGUUUGACUUCUCUAAAGUUCUUGUAUUUGCAAAAGAAUGAUCUCUCUGGAUCUAUACCAAUUGAACUGUCUGAAAGCUCAAAACUACAACUUCUGGAUUUGAGGGAGAACAAAUUUUCAGGUAAAAUUCCCAAUUGGAUUGAUAAUCUCUCAGAGUUGCGUGUUCUUUUACUAGGAUGGAAUAACUUGGAAGGAGAUAUUCCAAUUCAAUUGUGUCGAUUAAAAAAGAUCAACAUGAUGGACCUAUCGCGGAACAUGUUCAAUGCUUCAAUACCAUCUUGCUUCCAAAAUUUGACAUUUGGUAUAGGACAGUACAAUGAUGGACCUAUUUUUGUAAUCUCAAUAAGUCUGACACAAGAUAUUCCAAAUGGUGCACCUCCUUUUAUUUGAAUUAUCUCAUGGCGAACUACACUUGGAAGUGGAGUUCAGAACAAAGCACAAUGAUUACUUUUACAAAGGUAAAGUCCUAGAGAAAAUGACUGGAUUGGAUUUAUCAUGCAACAAGCUAACAGGUACUAUCCCUUCUCAAAUUGGGCACCUGCAACAAGUUUUAGCCUUGAACCUAUCACAUAAUCACUUGUCGGGUCCUAUUCCAAUUACGUUUUCAAAUCUUACCGAAAUAGAGAGCCUUGACUUAUCAUACAAUAACUUGAGUGGUAAGAUACCUUAUGAGCUAACCCAGUUGACCUUUUUAUCAACCUUCAACGUGUCAUACAACAACCUUUCUGGAACACCACCUAGUACAGGACAGUUUGCAACCUUCGUUGAGGACAGCUACAGAGGUAAUCCCGGUCUUUGUGGAUCACUCCUCGACCGAAAGUGUGAAGGUGUCAAGUCUUCACCAUCAUCACAAUCCAAUGACAAUGAAGAAGAGGAAACAAAUGUGGACAUGAUAACAUUUUAUUGGAGGUUUCUACAGCAUCUUACAUAACAAUAUUGUUGGCCUUCGUAACAGUGUUGUGUAUCAAUGCUCGUUGGCGUAUGGCUUGGUUUUAUUACAUUAGUAAGUUUGCACGAUUUUUUUUUCCAACUUUUCCAUUGUACUGAAGAGUGUACGUAGUACCUGUUGAAACUUUACGUGGAGUCUCAAAUAUUUGGAUAUUGUAAUUUUUAUAUUUAUCGUUAAUUUCAGACAGUUUGAUGCUGGACAUGAUUUUAAGCUCUUUUUAUUUUUUCAUUGUUUUUUGUGUGAUGUACUUGUCUGCAGUUGUUUGAUUUGAAGCUAUUGAAUACAUUAUUAUGUUUUUUUCUUUCUUCAUAUUAAUGCUUAUCUAAUUACUCUGUUGUCAGACUCUAAUAGCAAUCAGAAGAAGAAUUGUUGUUGUUUUUUUUAUCUUCAUAUUAAUGCAUAAUCAAUUAGCUAACUGUAUACAUUUGUCAUAGAAUAUCAAAAUUAUGCAGACUCAGAAAUAUUGAAGACUUCAUUAUGAACUUAAUAUCAUGUUAAUAGUCUCAUUGAAAUGUGGUUGUACUUGUACACUUGUACUAGUUAAUUAUGUUAUCAAUUAUCUUAGUACUGGACCUCGACUAAGUAUGAGAAUGAUGUUAGUUUAUUGUAACACGUAUUAUUAUCAAAUCUCUUAUUAUUUGUGGUUUCUUUCAUCCUUUUGUAUUGAAACCAUGUUGUUGAAUCCAAUAGCAGCGAUUUCCGAUUAAGUUGCAUACAACUUCUGUUACCAUCUUUGUCGUCAUAUCAUAUCCAAGAGUUCCUCAAAUAGCUCUGAGACCUGUUUCAAAGAUCCAUCAAAUGACGUUCUGCAGCCAUUGACCCGGCAGCAGCCAUUGAUUCUGUGACAGGCCCUAUGCUAGAGUAUUAUUGAAAAGAUGAAAAGAAAACGAGCAAAAACUGUUUUUUACUCGAGAGCAUGCUCUGUCGAUGGAAUCAUUCCCUUCUAGAGAGCCUUGUGUACAAUACUAACUCCAAUGCCAUUAAUAUUUGCCUUUAGUUUUCUUUUGUCAUUAAUUAAUUCUUCAACCACCAAAUCGGGUCAUGUCUUUAUAAGUCAAUCUCAAAUUAGUCUCUAACUCUAUUAAUAUUUCAAAUUAGUCUCUGUCUUUCUCAAAAGUUUCUAAACCACAUUCCUCGACAUGUGACAAAAACAUAAAGACAAGGACCUAAUUAACAAACUUUUAACAAAGUGCUUUUGUAAGUAAUUCAUUAUGAGACCCUAUGUUUUACGGUUUCUUUCAUAAUGUUAUUGUUUUUCAUUGAAAGGUUUAGCUCUCAUAUUUAACACUUUUGUUGUUUUUUGUUAAAGUAACUUCUUAUAUUUUUCUAAUACCUCGAAUGUCAAUGUAUCUUACUAAUUUGUUUAUAUCCAUGAGAUUACAAUUAGUUGUUGAACCUUGUUUAAGCGUUUUCGUGAGAUCUGUCUGAUUUAAUGAACAGAAUGGCUUUUCCAGGUCGCAUUGAGCAUGGUAUGAGAGGAAGGUUUUGCAUCUUUCUACUAUGGCCUUUGGCCGUCACUUAUUGGAAUAGCUUCAUAUAUUCCAGUUAACUUUUGUGUUUUUGACUUGCGAUCGAGUUUGAGUAAUUGUUUUUGACUAACAUUGAAAUUAAAACAUCAUAACCAUACCAGAGAAGUCGUCACCACCAUGCUUUAAAAAUUCAGCAUCACUUGCAACACAAUGAUGGGAAAUAUUUGAAGCUCAAAUGCUUCAGUGUUCACAUAUAACUGCCAUAUUAAUAUUAUGGUCGAUGCAGGUAAUGGGAAACACAUGAAUCAAAAUUGGCAAAUGAUCAUAUACUUGUUUUUUCAUUGGAAGAUCUUUCUUAUGAUCUGAAUGGCAACUUUACCCAUUCUAGCUAUGGGUAAUCAACGGUGCAAGGCUGCCCCUGAUUGUCUUUCAAAUUCAAACGAGAAUGAAAUGUAGAAAGAGUUUUCAUUUUUAUACAAAAGAGCUUAUUACGCAGUUGCUUGGUUGGAAUUAUUCACAAAUAAUAUAAAAUUUGUUUUGUCAUUCUACUUAUACUAGUUAUUUUGCAAAAACAUAUUAAGAAAUGUAAUUAAUAUUGUAUAUGAAAGAGAUAUUAUCAGUAGUUUUACACAUUUGUCUUAAAAUGAUUGAAAUUAAUAAAUAGGUAAGAGUAUAAUAGGAAAAUUAACAUUAAUGUUACCGUAAAACAACUUAUAAUUUGGGACUAACUUUUUUUUUUUUUCUUUUUUUUUUUUCAAAAUUAUAAUUUGAGAUGGAGAGAGUAUUAAUUAAACUAGUAAUGUUAACAUACGUACGUAUAUUUAGUCUUGCAAGCAGCAAGAUAACAUUAGCAUCUUUGUCAAAUGUCAUAUUCUCUAGUCAACUCCAAGUCUUUCUUGUGCUUCAAGGAAGUUUCUUGGAAUUGAAAAGUCCCAUCUUUGUGUAUACAUGAAUUUGGGGCAAGACUGAAAAGUCCCAACAUAAUGAUUCUUGCCGGAAAGAAAGACACUUACAAAACUAAAUGAUAUGUUAUCAUAAUUUUCCGGUAACAUUUUCCACUUCCUAUUAGUUUAAUUUAUAUGCACAGCCAAUUUAAAGAUUUUUUACACUUGCAAUUGUCAUAUCAUUGAAAUCAUUUAACUUCAAUGAUAACUACUUCUAAAGUUGUACAUAUAAUUAAUUGUGAUUUGUUAAUAAUAUAAUUUUUUUUUUUUUUAAAUUGACGGUGUAUAUCAAAAUUAACUAUGGCUACAUCAAGGUUUGUUAUAUCAUAGUUUAAAAAGUGAAUACUUUUUCCUCUCCUCACUGAUUCCUUAUAUUUUUCAAUGUAGGCAGGAACCGAAAGUUUUCAGUUUGAUGAGAACAUAGAACAGGAAUGGAAAAUUCAAAUACAAAAUUUAGGCAAUGGCUAAAACAGCAUUUUAAGUAUAAUAGAUGGAAAAAAAAACUUAUAAUAGAAGGAAAAAAUUAAGAUUUAUUGAUACUGGAAAAAAUUAAGAUUUAUUGAUAUUGCAAAAUGAUAUAUAAAUUGGGAGAAAAAAAAAAAGUAAAUGGGAGAAUUUUACUUCUUAUAACUUUAAACUUAUUUGACGCUGGUUAAACUAUUUUUAAUGACCGAUGUUAGUAUACUUAAUUAUUACUUACUAUCCUAUUUGUUUGAGGGAGAAGUUGAGCAAAUGACCUCUUUACCACUCAAAUACUUACAUCCUUCCGUUAAACUACCAAACAAAGACCCCUAUAUGGUUACUAUAUUGAAAGCAACAACUAACUACUAAUGUUCACAUACAUAUUUAAUAUCAUGCAAGAUAAGUUUAGCAUCUUUCUCAAAUGUCAUCAUCUCUAGUCAACUCCAAGUCUUUCUUGUGCUUGGUGGAAGUUUCUUGUAAUAGAUAAUAUCCCAUAAUUUUAGUGUAUAUAAUGUAUAUGAGGUGAUUAUAGGAUUCGGACCAAAACUGCACACAAUACCCAUACAUUUCUCAAAAAUGAAGUUGGGUUUGAUAAUUAGUUCCCUUUUAUAUUUUGUGAUUUUAAUGUUAAUUCAAAAUCAAGGAUGUAACGGAUGCUUAGAGAAAGAGAGAAUAGGGUUGUUGGAGAUCAAGCACUACAUCUUGUCACAAGACGAAGGAUAUUCUUACCAUAGCACAGAAGAGUAUUCUUAUAAUAUCAAAGAAUUGGGUUCAUGGGUUGAUGAUAGAGAUAGCAAUUGUUGUUCUUGGAAAAGAGUCAAGUGCUCUAACACCUCUUCUGGUCACAUAACUGAAUUAUCCCUUUACUUGUUACUAUUUGAGACCCCUGAUUCUAAGAUGUUAAAUGUUUCAUUGUUCCGUCCAUUUGAAGAGCUACGCCUCCUUGACUUGUCCUAUAACUCCUUUCAAGGUUGGAUUGGCAAUGAAGGUACUACGUUGGCCCUUAUAUAUAAAAUUUCUUUAUUAAACUUAUACAAAUUAAAAAAGUUCUUUAAUUUUUAUUUGUUGUGUUAAAUUUGUUAACAUUUUAAUUUAUAUUAAAAUUUCUUUAUUAAACUUAUACAAAUUAAAAAAGUUCAUUAAUUUUUAUUUGUUGUGUUAAAUUUGUUAACAUUUUAAUUUAUAUUAUCCCCGUGAGCUUAACUCAGUUGGUAGGGAUAUCGCAUAUUAUAUGCAGGGGCCGGGGUUCGAACCCCGACACUCCACUUCUCCACAAUUUAAUUGUGUGAGCUCUUGCCAUUAGGCUACUUGCACUACAAGAAACAUUGCAUUUUGCCAGGGGCAAAAUCCCUGAGAAAAUGACAGAAUCCCUGAGAAAAGGGACAUUUAUGAGGGAAUUUGCCAGGGGCGGAAACCCUGGCAAAACAGCUCAUCGCUAACAUUUUGUGAGGGGUUACACCCCUGGAAAAAAAACGAGGGGCUAAACCCCUGACAAACUGCGUCACUUAAACCCUGUCUUAUUCCCUGGCAAAAUUCGUCACUUUUGUCUGCAACUAUGCAGGUCUGCUCUGACUUGACUGCUGACUGACGGAAUGUCAAAUCAGCAGGGUAACUUAAGCCAAGGCCUUUGCGAGUGGUAUAACCCCUGGCAAAUGGUAUAUUAAUUUUUUUAAAAAACUGGUUUUAUUUUUUAAACUGAUUUUUUAAUUAUUAAUUAAAUGUUUUUAAAAUAAUUUUAAUUAAUGAAAUGUUAUUUAAAUUAAAUUAAAAAUUGUAUUUUUUUGUCAAAGUUGUUUUUGAAAAAAAUGUAUAUUUAAAGUUGUUUUCAUAUUGGCAUAUAAGAUCCUUCAAAAAAAUAUUGGCAUAAAAGAUAUUUAUAAAUUUAUUAAUUAAAUUGAGUUAAUUUUAUCCACAUGUAAAAAUUGUAUUGUCUGGUUGUUAAAAUGAACGAAAUGUUAAGAAAAUCAUAAGGAUUGAUAUAACACACAUUUUAAUAUAACAACUACAUUUACUAUAGAUUGAAUUUUCGUUAUUGAGUCUUAACAAUUUUAUUUUAAAAGAUGGUUUUAGUAUUAUGUAGUCAUUUUAUGACAAAACACAAUUGUUAUCAAUAUUGGGCAAAGAUAAUAGACAACCGAUUUUUUUCUUUCCAGAUCUAAGAGCAACACUAAAAAGAUCACACAACAAUAAGACAAGAAAAUGAUUACAAAAAAUGCCAUGACCAUCAUCUUCCUUUUGAACCAGUAAUCGCUAUGAAGGUCAUGCUUGUAAUAGGAAAGAAAAAAUGCAGCAAUAUAAAGAGAAGUUCAUGGGUAAAAGUACUAGCUUGACACCCUAACUAGAAAGAUCACGUGUAAAAGAAGGAGCAUGAAGAAGGUGCUAAAUUGAAAAUAGAAAGAAAAACAAGAAGAAGCUUUCAUGAGUAAAACAAUGAUUAAUGGAAAUAGAGUGUAAGAACUAAGAACCAUAGCAGCAACGUCUUCAUUAGCGGUUUCAGACUUCAGAGUGAUUUUCAAAUGGAUAUGAUGCAUAUGGUGUGUUAGUGGUAAUGGUCACCAAAUGGAUAAAAACAUAAGUUGUGGACAUAUUUGGUGAUAUAUAAAAUUGAAGGUACACGGUUUGGCAAUGGUGCAGGAAUAUGCCACGGCCGUACAGCAAUAUCCGAGGGGUAAAACCCCUGGCUUGCUGGCAGCACAGUUUUUGCAGCAGGUUUUGUCAAGUCAAAACAGCAGGUUUUGCAGGGAAUCCCUUCUUUUGGCUAAGUUUUUUUUUUGAAAAAGCUGCACAACUAGAUUUUUUGAAUUUCAAGUUUGGCGCUCAAAUUAAAGACAGGGGUUGUGUCUUUUUGCCCGGGGCAAACCCCUGUCUUAUGGUAAGUGGUCCUCGCAUUUCUUAAAGUCCAUUUGUGAGGGGUUUCCUUGACAUUUUUCAUGGCAAAUUUGCUAGGGGUUUUAUGUCCCUGGCAAAAUUCUUGGCAAAUGGUCAUUUUUCUUGUAGUGUUGAACCAAAAAAAAAUAAAUAAAUAAAUAAUUCAUAUUGUCAUAAUUAGCAAUAAUUGACCGGUGAGUUUAAGUUUUCUAAAUAAGAUUAUUAUUUUACAACAUAAAAAAUCAAUGUACAAAUCUCAAUUAAGAGAGAUGUCAGUACUUUCUAUUUACAAUAUCUUAUAUACGAAUCAAAAAAAAAUAUAUGAAUUCUUUGUCAGAUGGUCUUACUAAAUUUGGUGGGAUCAAUAUAAAUUUCAACCAAUACAAACAUAAGUGUUGUAAAUAGUACUCUCUCCGUCCCUAUAUGUAACCUCCUUUUGCAUUUUUCAUAUUUUUUAAUAAAGUUUUCGGUGUAAUUAAUAUGUCUGUUUUGUGCGUUAAUAUUACUAAAUUGUCAUUUGUUUGUAUGUGUAUUAAAUUUAAUUUUUCAUAUUUCAAUACAAGCUAGUAGUAUUAAUUAAGGGUAUGUUUAGAAAAAAAAAAAAAAAUGCAUCUAGUAAUAUGAAAACGGGUUUACAUUUAGAGACAAAAAUAAAAUCAAAUUGGUGCUUAGAUAUAGGGACGGAGGAAGUAUAUCACUAGCAUAAUUAAAAGAUGGUCUCAUAGCUUUCUCUGUUUCUUUCAAACUAACUUACUAUGCUUCUUUUGAAGGUUUUCAAGGAAUUAAAAUGGUGGAGACAUUAGACCUUUCAAGGAACCAUCUAAAUAGUAGCAUCUUAUCAAGUUUGAAUAAUGGAUUAACGGCUCUAACAACUUUGAACCUCGGUAAUAACAAAAUAGAUAAUAACUUCUUCGCUCAAGGUACAAUUUGUUUGUAUAAUUUAUUUACGGGAAAUGUUAAUAAGUGCCCUCAAGACAUUUGAUAAAAAGACUAAAGAAGAAAUGUUAUCUUGGAAAUGGUGCAUUCAAUGUAUUGAAAUUUUAAAAUAUAAUUUUUUCUACUUAAAAUUCAUCAAUUAUUUCUAUUUAUGUAUUCUUAAAAAGUGUCCUGAGGCCAUUUGUUAACAAGGAUUUUUAUUCAUUUUUGUACUACAUACGAUGGAUAUGACUGCUUGUUUGAAUCUUGUAUGUUUUAUCAAUCAGCAAUGCAACUUUAGUACUUAUAUAUAAGACUUAGUUAACAAAUUUAAAAAGUUUGUUAAUUUUGUAUUUUUUUGUGUGUUAAAUAUGCUAACAUUUUAAUAUUAAUUUUAAAAAGUAUAAAUAAUUGACAAUAUAAAAUAGAUAUCGGUAGAACACAAAAAAAGAAAAUAGAUGUCUGUAUUUAGUAUUUACAAUAUCUUGCAUAUGGAUGAAUGAAAGAAUUCUUUUAUAUAUGUGAUUGAAAUAUAUGAAUUCUUUCUAUCUCUAUAUUUAUCUAGAAUAUCAAUAGGUCUUAUUAAAUUUGGUGGGAUUAGUAUAAAUUUUGACCAAUACAAAAAUAAGUGUUGUAAAUAAUACGGUAAAUUCCUUAAAAAAAAGUAAAUAAUACGGUAAAUGUUAUGUCAUUAGCAUAAUUAAAAAAUAAUUAAUACAAGAGAGAUAAUUUUAACGAGGAGUUGCCCUCCGUCUGGCAUGAAAUUUCUCAUUCUAAGAUAUAAGCUUGGAAUUUAAUUUCGAAUCUUCCAUUUUUUUUCUUUUUCUUUUUUCCCCGUAACAUUGUAACACUAUAAAUUUUUUGGGUUAAUAGGCUUUUACCCCCCUGCCAUUUGGGCGUCUUUUGGUUUACCCCCCUACAAAAAAAAAACUUGGAGAUUCCCCCUUGCAAAAUGAAGAUUCUUUGGUUUUGGACCCUGAGUCCAUCUGACUGUGUAAUUUAGUUGAUGUGGCGUGCUGACUGUGUAACGAUGGAUGAAGUGGCACUGACACGUCAUAAUUUUUAUUUUUUUAUUUUUAAAAUUAUGUUAAAAAUGUGAAAUACCUAAAAUACCCCUAAUGAUAAAUUAAAAAUUCCAAAUCUUUUUCUCCCCUUCUUCUCCUCCAGCAGCGACCCUCUUCUUCUAUUCUUCUCUACUUCAUCAUCUACAUCAACACAACAAACACAACAACACAACAAUUCAACACAACAACAACAAACAUCUUCUUUUCAAACUCACAACAACACAUCAUCAACAACAUCCCAAAUCACAAAUCACAAACAUUCAUCUUCUCACCCAUAAAAGCAAAAGAGUCUCAAAAUAGGUCUGAAAAUUCUAACCCAUAAAUCCGAAGAAAAAAAUCCGAAAAAUGUUAUUGAUGUUGUUUAUGGGUCGAAAAAUGGGUUUGAUAAAAAAUGGAUUGUUGUUGUUUGAAUCUCAAUAUGUUGUAUUUGUUUGUGUGUUAUUGUUGUUUGAUUGGAUCCAAAAGUUGUUUUGAUUUGUAUUGUUUAUGUUUUUGGCUAUGUUUUUGCCCAGAGAAGAGAAUAGGAAGGAGGAAAUGGGAAUGAGAGAGAAGGGAGUAAAAAGAAGAACAUGGAGAGAAGGAAGAAUGGGGACGAGAGAGAGAGAAGGAAGGAGGAAAUGGAGGAGAAAAGAAAAAAUAUAUUUUUUUUAAUGUUUUUAAUUUAUAAAAUUAAGUUUUUAAUAAAAGAAAUUCAAAUAGAGAAAAAAAUAAUUGGAAAAGAAAUAAAAAAAAAGCCACGUCAGCAUGCCACCUCCUUAAUUAUGCACAAUCAGCGUGCCACAUCAUCCCAUUAAUCCAGUCAUAUGGUUUGGGGGGCGUAAACCAAAGAAUCUUCAUUUUACAGGGGGAAUCUCCUAAGUUUUUUUUUGAUAGGGGGGUAUACCAAAAAACUCCAAAAUGGCAGGGGGGUAAAAGCCUAUUAACCCAAAUUUUUUUUUGAGAAAUAUAUAAAUCUUUCCAUAAACGUAGCUCAAUUGAUCGGAACAUUGCAGUAUGUUAGGGUCGGUGUUUGAAUCCUUAUUCUUCAUUUAUUUACCUCAAGAUGUGAAUUUAUAGCUAAUAAAUUACUUGACAAAAAAAAGAUAAAUAAAUUGUUAAUAUGUCACACGCACUUGGUCAUUAAAUUCUUUUUUUUUUUUUUUGACAAAUAGUCAUUAAAAUUCAUGGAACCCACGUUAUGAAGUUUUUUUAAAGAGGUUCACAAGUUGAUUUGGAGAAUUUGAAGAUAUAAAUCUCAAAUAUUAAUAUUAUUUAGGCGUUAGACUAUUUUCUUCUUAAAUUAACAAUAACUAAAAUUAAUUUGUGAAAUGAACUUUUUUUUAAGUCACGUUUGUUUUUUAUUGCCAAUUCGGUCUUUAAGAUAGUCUCAGAUAUUGAUUGAUACUAUGAAAGUGUUUUUAAUUUUAUAAUGAUUUCAUUAAUUCUUUAAUUUUAUAAUGAUUUCAUAAAUUCUUUAAUUUUAGGAUCGACCUAUGUAAUUUUUUAGACAAACUGAGUGGUUUGUUUUUCUAUUUCACAUGACUCGCUGUUUUUUUUUUCCCCUUCAUUUUUCGUGACUUUUAUUUCUCUUUUGAAACAAGUGUAGAAAUAAACUCUUAAUUAACAAGAAACUGUUUUCAUUAAUCAAAGAUUGUGUAGAAAGUAAAUGGCAUCACUAUACAACAUAUUUGUUAUCAAAUGUAAACUUCUCAUAGCUUAGUAUGCUUGUUUUGAAGGUUUUCCAAGACUUGAAAAAUUGGAGACAUUAGACCUUUCAGACAACUAUUAUCUAAACAGUAGCAUUUUGUCAAGUUUGAAUGGAUUGACUGCUCUAACAACUUUGAAGUUGGGUUCUAAUUCAAUGAAAAACUUCUCUGCUCAAGGUACAUUUUGUUUCAAUAAUUUAUUUGUGGAGUUUAUGUGAUGAAGUGAAUGAAUUAGAAGACAAUUAUAAGAUCUCGAAGAAAAUAUUAAUUUUUAACGAUAAUAAGAGACUUUAAAUAAAAUGAAAAACUGGUUAUGAAUCAUUGGUAGGAAUUGAAAUUAAUUAACAAAAGCUUUUCAUUAUGUAUAUUGUUGAAGGAUUUUCGAGAUCAAAGGAGUUGGAGGUCUUAGACCUUUCCCAUAAUGAGCUAAACUGCAAUAUCAUAACAAGUUUGUAUGGUUUCAUAUCAUUAAGGAGUUUGAUUUUGAGAGAUAACAAGUUCAAUUGUUCUCUCUCCACUUUAGGUACGCAUCUUCAAAUAAUAUAUUAUGGCAAAUGUUUUUAGUUUCAUUUAAAAAAAAAAGUAUUAUGUCCUUGCAACAGAUUUUGCCAAAUUUAGUCGGCUAGAACUAUUGGACUUGGAUGGUAAUCAAUUUAUUGGUUCACUACAUGUUGAAGGUACUUUUACUAUUAUUUUUGUUUCAACUACUAUUUAUGGUUACAAAGGAACACAAAAUUUAUUACCACUAUUUAUGGAAAAGAUUUUAUAGGAAAAUUUAUUCUGUUUGAGAAAUUCAGACAUUGUUUAGGAGUUAGCAGUUUGUUUAUAAAUCAUAUUCUCAAUAGAGGCUCUAAGUUAAUGAGUUUACAAUCUUUAAUUAAAUUCAAUAAAAUAAUUCUAAUUAAAUAUGUUUUGCCACUCUCCACAUAAUACUCUUUGCACACUCUAGCGCCUUAGCUUCUAUUAUCUCUUGGGAAAGAAGGAAGAUAAUAGAAGUUUCAUAAAUUUUUUUGUAAUGAAUGGUGAAGUUUCAUAAGGUUGAUCACCAAUGUGAUAUUGGCUAUUGUUGAAACCCAAUGGUGAAAUGAACCGGAGCUUUUGUAUUUCCUAACAUAGUAUGCCGAGCUGAAUGAUUCCCAUAUACCAAUUUGUCAUCAAGGAUUCUCCAAGAAUUUGGUCUCCAUGUCAAUCAGCUCUGACACAAAGGCCUCUUCUUUAAAUUUCUUAGUUCUUACAGAUUUAUUGAAUAUUAUAUCUCUAAAUAUGUACUUUUUUUUUUUUUUUCUUUUUUGCAGAUGUUCAACACUUGAAAAAAUUGAAAAUGUUAAGUUUAAGCUAUAAUCAAAUGAACGGCUCAAUUGAAGGUAUCAAUACUAUCAAACAUAAAUAAUUAAUUGGUUUGAUUUGUAAAUUAAUAUAUAUAUAUAUAUAUAUAUAUUGAGUCCAUUGGAAAAACUUUAAGAUUUUUAUGAUAAUGUCAAUUUUUGUAAAGAUAACUGGACAUAGUUAAUUAUGACAGGACUAUGCAAUUUGAAGGAUUUGGUAGAACUGGAUAUCAGCAAAAACAUGUUUGGGGCUAAACUUCCUGAGUGUUUAAGUAACUUAACAAACCUCAGAAUUCUUGACCUUAGCCAUAAUCUAUUCAGUGGAAAUUUUCCAUCCUUCAUUAGUAAUCUCACAUCCUUGACAUUCUUAUCACUCUAUGAAAAUUACAUGCAAGGAUCAUUUUCACUUAUCAUUUUGGCUAAUCACUCCAAUCUUCAGCAUCUACAUAUUUCAUCGAAAAACAGCACUGGAGUACACAUUGAAACUGAAAAAACAAAGUGGUUUCCUAAAUUUCAAUUGAAGUCCCUCAUUCUUAGAAAUUGCAACCUAAACAAGGACAAAGGAAGUGUCAUUCCUACUUUUCUUUCUUAUCAAUAUAAUUUGAUACUGAUGGACCUCUCUAGCAACAAUAUUGUUGGCUCACUCCCAAGUUGGUUGAUAAAUAAUGAUGCCAUACAAUAUUUGGAUCUAUCAAACAACAAUUUUAGUGGUUUGCUUCCAGAAGAUAUAUUCCUUCCAAGUAUUACCUAUUUGAACUUUUCAUGGAAUAGCUUUGAAGGAAAUAUACCUUCAUCAAUUGGUAAGAUGAAAAAUCUUGAGUACUUUGACCUCUCUCAUAAUAAUUUCUCAGGUGAGUUACCUAAACAACUGGCCACAUAUUGCGAUAAUUUACAAUACUUGAUUCUCUCCAACAACUCUCUACGUGGGAAUAUUCCUAAAUUUGUGAGUAUGGAAGUUUUAUUACUGAAUAAUAACAACUUUAGUGGAACACUUGAUGAUGUAUUGGGAAAGGGAAAUAAUACAAGAAUACUAAUGCUAUCCAUAUCCAAUAACUCGAUCACAGGCAGAAUUCCUAGUUCAAUUGGGAUGUUUUCUAACAUGUAUGUCCUUCUUAUGUCUAAAAAUCAAUUAGAAGGUCAGAUCCCUAUUGAGAUUUCCAACAUGUCCAGUCUUUAUAUUUUGGAUCUUUCUCAAAACAAGUUAAUUGGAGCAAUCCCAAAGUUCACAGCUGGAUCUCUGAGAUUCUUGUAUUUACAACAGAAUGAUCUCUCUGGAUUUAUACCAUUUGAACUCUCUGAAGGCUCAAAACUACAACUUCUAGAUUUGAGGGAGAACAAACUUUCAGGUAAAAUUCCCAACUGGAUGGAUAAGCUCUCAGAGUUGAGGGUUCUUUUAUUAGGAGGGAACAAUUUUGAAGGAGAAAUUCCAAUUCAAUUUUGUUGGUUCAAAAAGAUCGACAUAAUGGAUCUAUCACGGAACAUGCUCAAUGCUUCAAUACCAUCUUGCCUCCAAAAUAUGUCAUUUGGAAUGAGACAAUAUGUUCAUAAUGAUGAUGAUGACGGUCCUAUUUUUGAAUUCUCAAUGUACGGAGCUCCUACAGAUAUUUCCUUCAAUGCUAGUUUGUUGAUUCGACAUCCAUGGAUUGGAAAUUCGUUGAAAGAAGAACUACAAUUUGAAGUGGAGUUCAGAACAAAGCACAAUGAAUACUCUUACAAGGGUAUAGUUCUAGAGAAUAUGACUGGAUUGGAUUUAUCAUGCAAUAAGCUAACAGGUGUCAUCCCUUCUCAAAUUGGAGACCUACAACAAAUUAGAGCCUUGAAUCUAUCACAUAAUCACUUGUCUGGUCCCAUUCCAAUCACUUUUUCAAAUCUUACCCAAAUAGAGAGUCUUGACUUAUCAUACAAUGACUUGAGUGGUAAGAUACCCAAUGAACUAACCCAGCUAAACUUUUUGUCAACCUUCAAUGUGUCAUACAACAACCUUUCUGGAACACCACCUAGUACAGGACAAUUUGGAGGCUUUGUUGAGGAAAACUACAUAGGUAAUCCUGGUCUUUGUGGACCAUUCGUCAAUCGAAAGUGUGAACAUGUCGAGUCUUCAGCAUCAUCACAAUCCAAUGACGACGGAGAAAAGGAAACCAUGGUGGACAUGAUAACUUUUUAUUGGAGUUUCACAGCAUCUUACAUAACAAUAUUGUUGGCCCUCAUAACAGUUUUGUGCAUCAAUCCACGUUGGCGUAUGGCCUGGUUUUAUUAUAUCAGUAAGUUUAUGCGUAGAUUUUUUCCAACUUUUCCAUUGUAUUGAAGAGUGUCCAUAGUUUAAACUUUAUGUGGAGUCUCAAAUAUUUGGAUAUUGUAAUUUUUACCUUUAGCUUUAAUUUUCGAGAUGUUGAGACUUGAGAAAUUGAAUGUUCAGUUCCUUUUGUCAACUUUAUGAUCAUCGUGUUGUUUGUGUGAUGUAUUUAUCUGGAGUGGUUUGGAGGCAUUGUUAUAUAUUAUUGUAUUAUUUAGCAUUUUGAACCUAUGGGUCGUGCAUGAUGAAAACAUUGCUUAGUCUAUAAACAAAAUGAACAAUAAAUAUAGAGAACGCAACAUUAGCAGAACCAUAUUUUUUUGGCCUUGGUAUCCUUUCGUCGUCUCUGUAUUUCCUUAAGGAACAUUAAGUUUAAUCCUAAAUAGAUUUUUUGUGAAAAACUACGUGCAAUGUUUGAUGUUCUUGUAUGAAAUUGAAUGAUUCUACAGCUAAGACCAUAAUUAAUUUGACGAUGCUUUAUGAAAUUUGGUACCUUGAUCUUGUGGUUGUCACUUGUGGUUAAUGUUUCUUUGAACCAAUAGCAAACAACACAAUUCAUUCCAAAUUCGCCUCCGCUUAACAAACCGAACAACGAACUUGCGACGACGGCUCAGCUUCUAAACCGAACAGCAUUGUUCUUUUUGCCAUUUAUGAAACGACAUUGCUUUUGGUAGAUUCACGGAGUUGGAAUUGGACAAUGCUUAAAAUUGAACAUUUUAGGGACCAAAUUAAGUAUUGGCAGUUGAAUUGAAUUAUGUAAAUGCUUAAUAAAAUAGGUUUGUUUCUUGUCAGUGGUUAAUAAGUUGUGAUCACCCCUUAUGCAGAUCUUGUUAUGUUAAUAAUCUCAAUGAAAUGGGGUUGUACACUUACUAUUUAUGCUUUCAUAAUACUGGACCUUGAUUAAUUUAAGUAUGAGAAUAAUGAUGUUAGUUUACUCAAAUUGAUGUUUUAAUUUUAAAAGAAUUUGCAAAUACUUGCAUUAAGUUGCAUACAACUUAAGUAUUUUCAGCCAUGAACCCGGUAGCAGCCAUUGAUCCUGUGAUAGACCCUAUGCUCUGUCGAGGGAAUCAUUCCCAUCUACAACUGAAAAUCAGUCUAUCGAUUGUGAGUAAAUAUCCAGAACGUACCCCUCCUUCUCGAGCCACGUCUAUUUAUAUCCCAAGUACACCCUUGUGUACAAUAGUAACUCCAAUUUAACUUACUAAAAUGCAGGUCUUGCCAAACUUUUUUGAAAAAAGUUAACAGAAGAACAACUCUGCUUUACGAAAAAAAAUACUUUACUGUGACUUCUUUUGAAGAAUAAAAAAUACAUUAUAGUCGAAUUAUUUGAAUUAUUAACAAAUGUAUAAGAUUAAUUAAUACCCUUAUUUGUGCAAAAACUGCAACAUUCCUUUUAGUUGUUAUAGUAAUCAGUGGUAAGCACACACUGGGGAAUAGAAUAGUUUAAGUUUAUAUGCUUCAGUGUUCUUGUGUGAAUACCAUGUUAAGUUUUUGGUUGAUGCAAGUAUUGUGGCACAAGAUGGAGCUAUUGGCUUAAACCGAGGAUUCAUGCCCAAAACAUUAAAAAUCCGAUUAUGUUUCCUUAAAUUCCGAUUUUGUUGAUAUUUUAUACUUAAAUUACAUCUUAAAAAAUAAGCAGAUAAAACUCUGUUUCAAACAAGAGAUUGCUAUUCUCAUUCCAUUAAGAACAAAUACUCACAACAACAAGAGAUUGUGAUUAGUUACCUGGCCUAUGUCUAAUUUAUUUUUCCGUACUACAUAUGACAUUGUCAAAUGUCUGAUUGCAGCUAGUGAGAAAGAGUUUCAAACAAUCGCUGAGGAAAACCGCAACAAACAAAAGAAAAACACAUAGUCAAUGAUGGUGAACUUAAGAAUGAUUUUGUUUUUGCCAUUUUUUACUGCUAUUAUUUGUGGGAGUUACUUUUGCCAAACUGCUACGAGUGAUAUAUCUCAGAAGGGGCUGUAAAAUUUGUAGGACACAAGUUUGUUCUAGGUGCACUAUUCUCUUGAAAAUCAAACAAAUAAUUGAGCAUAGUUGUUAAAAUCGUUCAGAUACAACCCUCAUUGUUAAUACAAGACACAUGGCUUGAUUAUUCAUUGUACUACUAAUAUGACUCCAUACCUAUGAAGCAUGGAUAUAGACGGACACGACACACAAUGACGCACCAACAUUGAUAAUAUUUUGAGAAAAUAACAUAAUUCAAUGUAAUAAUAUAUGCGUGUCAAUGUGUCCUACUUCAUAAUACACUUAAUCCCAUGAGUGUUUGUGCUUGAUAGCUCUUUACAUCUCUAUGAAUUAGAAUAUGUAGAUAGCAAAUGUCUUUUAAAGAUAAUGAACAUGUUCGUACUAUAUAUAAUCUGAAUCGGGAACAAUUUGUUUGGAAUAUAUAAUACGAACGGGUUCAGCAUUCAAUAAAAAAAAUCAAAUCAACUAAUUUUUUUUAUAAGGAAUGAGAUUUUACCUUGUGCUUGGUGUUUGAAAAAGCUUGAAAUGGUAUCUUUGGGUAUAAGUUUACCCUUCAAAAGAGAGAGUUUAUUUAAGUUCCCAUGAGGAUAUCUUUGGGUGCCAACUGGAGUUAAAGAUCUUAAUUACGGAGCGUUAGUCAAAAAGAAAGAGGUAGUACUUUGGUGGUAUAUUGAUAAAGAAAUAUUUAAUACACUUGAAAAUCCAAAGAUGGUCUUAUAAAGAAAAUGACAAGAAUUUUUUUUCCAAAUGGGAUGUAUAUUUUUUACUUAAUUUAAAUACUUGAUAAUCUAAUUGUUUUCUUUGAUAUCUAAUAUUUUAGAAAUCAUCUCCAUCAUAUCGAAAUUUACACUAGUGUUUCAAAUUGUAGACCACAUGUUCAAAUUGAAAGCAACUACACUAAACUAAUGUUCGUACAAGUGUUUAAUUGCAUACAUGAUAUGUUUAGCAUUUUGUUAAUGUCAACUAUAAGUCAUUCCAUGUAGCUUCGAGGAGGUUUCUUUGUAGUGAAAAUUAAUGUCUCAUCUUUUAGUGUAUAUAUAAUAGGAGAAUGUUAAGGUGCUCUUUAGGGCAUUGGUUAACCAACCAAAACAAGUAAUUUUUUCACAUAAGAUGUAAAAGAGGCUAUAGAUAUUUUAGGGUUAGAGAUAUUUUAGGGUUUCAUUCCAUGAUAUCUUCCUUUCUUUAUGUAAAAAGGUUAGAGAUAUUUUAGGGUUCUAUAGAGAGAAGAUGUGUAAAUUAAAACCAUAAUUUCCAUCACUUUGUUAUUUAUUUUUGACAGGUUCAUCACAUGUCAUAACCCAUAAUACCAAGGGAAUCUCUUUUUAUAUAUUAUUCUUCAUAGGCCAUAAAUGUCUGAAGGUGCAUAAACAUUAAAAUGGAAAAAAAGUUAAUUAUUGAAACUUUUUGUCGGUUUAACUAUAUAUAACUGUAAUCAUACUUGACUAUGAUUCAAUAUUGAAGGCAAUUACACGUGUUUGUACAAGUGUUUAAUUGCAUGCAUGAUAAGUUUAGCAUUUUUGUCAACUGUAAGUCAUUCCAUGUGCUUUCGAGGAAGUUUCUUUGUAAUGAAAAUUAAUUACUCGUAUUUUAAUGCUAUAUAUAAUAAUAUAGGGUUUUUAUUGUAUUGAUUGUAGAAAUUUGAGGUAAAACAAGUAACAUAAUAUAAAAAAAUGAAGUUGGGUUUGAUAUUCAGUUCCCUUUUAUAUUUUGUGAUUUUAAUGUUAAUGCAAAAUCAAGGAUGUAAGGGAUGCUUAGAGAAGGAGAGAAUAGGGCUGUUGGAGAUCAAGCACUACAUCUUGUCACAACAAGACAAAGGAGAUUCUUAUAAUAACAAAGAAUUGGGUUCAUGGAUUGAUGAUAGAGAUAGCAAUUGUUGUGUUUGGAAUAGAGUCAAGUGCUCUUUUGGUCACAUAGUUGAAUUAUCCAUCUAUAGUUUACUAUAUUUGUUCCCUGAUCCUAAUAUGUUAAAUGUUUCAUUGUUCCGUCCAUUUGAAGAGUUACGUCUCCUCGACUUGUCCAAGAACAAUAUUCAAGGUUGGAUUGACAACGAAGGUACUACUUUGGUCCUUAUAUAAGAGUUCUUUAACAAAUUUAUACAAAUUAGAAAAGUUGGUUAAUUUUUAUUUAUUGUGUUAAAUUUGUUAAAAUUUUAAUUUGGUCUCUAACAUAGUCUCAGAUACUAAUUUUUUAUACAUUCUUUAAUUUUAGGAUCGAGCUCUGUAAUUUUUUAGGCCAAUUGAGUGAUUAAUUUUUCUAUUUUAUUGUUCUCUUUCAUUUAUUAAUUUUUCUAUUUCACGAUUCACUGUUUUUUUUUUCUUCUUUCAUUUUUCAUGACUUUUGUUUCCAUAUUGUAACAAAUUUAAAAAUAAACCAUUGACAUAAACAUUUUUCAUUAAUCAAAAGAUUGUGUAUUCUUAUUUCCAUAUUGACAUAAACAUUUUACGAUGAUUUUAUAAAUUCAAAAGAUUGACUUUUGUUUCCAUAUUGUCAUCUUUCAUAGCUAGCUUCCUCUGUUUCUUUGAAACUAACUUAUUAUGCUUCUUUUGAAGGUUUUCCAGGACUUAAAAGUUGGAGACAUUAGACCUUUCAAAUAACUAUCUAAAUAGUAGCAUCUUAUCAAAUUUGAAUGGAUUAACGGCUCUAACAACUUUGAACCUCGGUUAUAACAAUAUAGAUAAUAACUUCUUCUCUCAAGGUACAAUUUGUUUCUAUAAUUUAGUACUUAUUUAUAAGACUUAGUUAACAAAUUUAAAAUUUUUGUUAAUUUUGAUUUUUUUGUUGUUUUAAAUAUGCUAGCAUUUUAAUAUUAAUUUUAAAAAUUAGAAUUAAUUGACAAUAUAAAAAUAGAUACCGGUAUCUAGUAUAUCAAUAGGUCUUAUUAAAUUUGGUGGGAUUAGUAUAAAUUUCGACCAAUACAAAAACAAGUGUCGUAAAUAGUACAGUAAAUUGUUUUUUUUUUAAGGAAGUACGGUAAAUGUUAUGUCACUAGCAUAAUUAUAAAAUAAUUAAUAUAAGAGAGACAAUUUUAAUGAGGCCUUUUUUUUUUUGUCAAGUAGUCUAGUGUUAGAGCUCACACAAUUUAAUUGUGGAGAAGUGGAGUGUCCGGGGUUCGAACCCCGGCUCCUGCAUAUAAUAUGCAAUAUCCUUACCAACUGAGUUAAGUUCACGGGGAUUUAAUGAGGUCUUUUAUAAAGGGAGAAAUAUAUAAAUGUUUCCAUAAAUGUAACUUAAUUGAUCGGAACAUUGCAAUAUGUUAUGGUCGGUGUUUGAAUCCUUAUUCUUCAUUUAUUUACUACAAGAGAUGAAUUUAAUAAAUUACUUGACAAAAAAAAUAAAUAAAUUGUUAAUAUGUCACACGCACUUAGUCAUUAAUUUUAUUAUUUUUGACAAAUAGUCAUUAAAACUCAUGGAACCCACGUUCAUGAAGUUUUUUUUUUAAAGAGGUUCACUGGUUGAUUUAGGUGUUAGACUAUUUUCUUCUUAAAUUAACAAUAACUGAAAUUAAUCUGUGAAAUGAAUUUUUUUUUUAAGUCACCAUUGUUUUUUAUUGACCAAUUCGGUCUUUAAGAUAGUCUCAGAUAUUGAUUGAUACAAGGAAAGUAUUUUUAAUUUUAUAAUGAUUUCAUAAAUUCUUUAAUUUUAGGAUCGACUUAUGUAAUUUUUUUAGUACAAAUUGAGUGGUUUGUUUUUCUAUUUCACAUGGCUAACUGUAUUUUCCCUUCAUUUUUCGUGACUUUUAUUUCUCUUUUGCAACAAGUGCUGAAAUAAACUGUUAACAAGAAACUGUUUUCAUUAAUCAUGUUUCUUUUGAAGGGUUUCCUAGACUUAAAAGAUUGGAGACAUUAGAUCUUUCAGGGAACUAUCUAAAUAGUAGCAUUUUGCCAAGUUUAAAUGGAUUGACUGCUCUAACAACUUUGAAGUUGGGUUCUAAUUUGAUGAAAAACUUCUCUGCUCAAGGUACGUUUUGUUUCAAUAAUUUAUUUAUGGAGUUUAUGUGAUGAAGUGAAUGAAUUAAGAAGACAAUUAUAAGAUCCCCAAGAAAAUAUUAAUUUUUAACGAUAAUAAGAAACUUUAAAUAAAAUGAAAAACUGGUUAUGAAUCAUUGGUAGGAAUUGAAAUUAAUUAACAAAAGCUUUUCAUUAGGAGGAAAGAAAUCGGAAUAAAAAGUGAAUGCAAUACUUGUUUGCACACUUAAAACUACUCAUCAUUAUGUAUAUUGUUCAAGGAUUUUCGAGAUCAAAGGAGUUGGAAGUCUUAGACCUUUCAGGAAAUAGGCUGAAUUGCAACAUCAUAUCAAGUUUGCAUGGAUUCACAUCAUUAAGGAGUUUGAUUCUAAGUGAUAACAAGUUCAAUUGUUCUUUCUCCACUUUCGGUACACAUCUUCAAUUCUUAUAUUAUGAUGAAUGUUUUUAUUUUCAUUUUUUAAAAAGAACUAUAUUAUGUCCUUGCUACAGAUUUUGCCAAAUUUAGUCGGCUAGAACUAUUGGACUUGAGUAUCAAUGGAUUUGGUGGUUCUCUACAUGUGGAAGGUACCUGUACUAUUAUUAUUGUUGUUUGUUAUUUUUUUGGGCACAGCAGAUAUAUAAUGUCACUCUCCACACAAUACUCUUUAGACACUGUGGAGCCUUGAGCUUCCAUAAAUUUUUCCACAAACCUGCAUUCUCAUCCAAAGGUGGUUAUGGACUUUGACUAGCCAUUUCCUCUUUGACGCGAUAGGUUGCCGACUUCAAUGAGUAAAUGCCAUCUUUAUCAUAUUCCCAUACCAAUUUCUCAUCUAGGAUUCUCCAAGAAUUUGAGAUUUCAUCUUCUUGUUUUGUCAUAUGCACCACUUCAUUCCCAAAUAUAUUCAUUAAGAUCCUAAUGCAUAAUUUGGUUGGUAACCAAUAUGAGCAAUGAAUUCUCAGUGGAAACUAGUCUUCAACGCUAUUCUCUAACUAUGUACUCUCUUUUUUUCCUGCAGAUGUUCAACAUUUGAAAAACUUGAAAAUGUUAAGUUUAAGAAAUAAUCAAAUGAACGGCUCAAUUGAAGGUAUCAAUACUACCAAACACAAAUAAUUAAUUCAUAAUUGCUUCACGGGAUGGUUUUGGGGAUGGAUUGUUACAAUGAAGAUAACUUUUAUAUUGAUUUUAAAUUUUAAAUAAUUAACAAAAAGAAUGAAAUAAGUUAAUUAAUGUAUAUAUUGACGCCAUUGGAAAAACUUUUAAGAUUUUUAUGAUAAUGUCAAUUUUUGUAUAGAUGACAGGACAUAGUUAAUUAAUUAUGACAGGACUAUGCAAUUUGAAGGAUUUGGUAGAAUUGGAUAUCAGCUAUAACAUGUUUAGUGCUAAACUUCCAGAGUGUUUAAGCAACUUAACAAACCUUAGAGUUCUUGAACUUAGUAAUAAUCUGUUCAGUGGAAAUUUUCCAUCUUUCAUUAGCAAUCUCACAUCACUGGCAUACUUAUCCUUCUAUGGAAAUUACAUGCAAGGAUCAUUUUCAUUGAGCACUUUGGCUAAUCACUCAAAUCUUCAGCAUCUAUAUAUUUCACCGGAAAACAGUGGAGUUCUCAUUGAAACUGAAAAGACAAAGUGGUUUCCCAAAUUUCAAUUGAAGACACUCAUUCUUAGAAAUUGCAACCUAAACAAGGAGAAAGGAGGUGUCAUUCCUACUUUUCUUUCAUAUCAAUAUAAUUUGAUAUUCUUGGACCUCUCCAGAAACAAUUUAGUUGGUUCAUUCCCAAGUUGGUUGAUAGAUAAUCAUAACAUGAAUUAUUUGGAUAUAUCAAACAACAAUUUGAGUGGUUUGCUUCCAAAAGAUAUUGGUAUAUUCCUUCCUAGUGUUAAGUAUUUGAACUUUUCAUGGAAUAGCUUUGAAGGAAAUAUACCUUCAUCAAUUGGUAAGAUGAAACAACUUGAGUACUUGGACCUCUCUCAGAAUCAUUUCUCAGGUGAGUUACCUAAACAACUGGCCACAGGUUGUGAUAAUUUACAAUACUUGAAGCUCUCCAACAACUUUCUACAUGGGAAGAUUCCAAGAUUUUCAGUGAAUAUGUUUGGGUUAUUUCUUAAUAAUAACAACUUUAGUGGAACACUUGAAGAUGUAUUGGAAAACAAUACAGGAUUAGGAAUGUUAUUCAUAUCCAAUUACUCAAUCACAGGCAAAAUUCCUAGUUCAAUUGGGAUGUUUUCUGAUAUGCAAGUCCUUCUUAUGUCCGGAAAUCUAUUAGAAGGUGAGAUCCCUAUUGAGAUUUCCAACAUGGCCAUUCUUCAAAUGUUGGAUCUUUCUCAAAACAAGUUAAAUGGAUCGAUCCCAAAGUUCAGUAGUUUGACAUCUCUAAGGUUCUUGUAUUUGCAAUAGAAUGAUCUCUCUGGAUCAAUACCAUCUGAACUCUCUGAAGGCUCACAACUACAACUUCUAGAUUUAAGGGACAACAAAUUUUCAGGUAAAAUUCCCAAUUGGAUGGAUAAGCUCUCAGAGUUAAGGGUCCUUCUAUUAGGAGGGAACAAUUUUGAAGGAGAUAUUCCAAUUCAAUUGUGUCCUUCUAAAAAAGAUCAACAUAAUGGACUUAUCACGGAACAUGCUCAAUGCUUCAAUACCAUCUUGCUUUCAAAAUAUGUCAUUUGGAAUGAGACAAUAUGUUGAUGCUCACGGUUUUGAAUUCUCAAUGUCCGAAGGUUUCACAGGUGAAUUUAUUCCAAAUUUGAAUUCUUUCUUCAAUGCUAGUUUGUCUAUUGGGCAGUUUUUUAAUGAAAAUUCGUUGGAUGAAGAUCUAGAAUUUGAAGUGCAGUUUAGAACAAAGCACUAUGAUUACUUUUACAAGGGUAUAGUUCUAAAGAUCAUGACUGGAUUGGAUUUAUCAUGCAAUAAGCUAACAGGUGUCAUCCCUUCUCAAAUUGGAGACCUACAACAAAUUAAAGCCUUGAAUCUAUCACAUAAUUACUUGUCUGGUCCUAUUCCAAUAACUUUUUCAAAACUUACCCAAAUAGAGAGCCUUGACUUAUCAUACAAUAACUUGAGUGGUAAGAUUCCUUAUGAACUAACCAAGUUGACCUCUUUAGAAAUCUUCAAUGUGUCAUACAACAACCUUUCUGGAACACCACCUAGCACAAGACAAUUUGCAAACUUUGAUGAGUACAACUACAGAGGUAAUCCCGGUCUUUGCGGACAACUCCUAAAUCAAAAGUGUGAACGUGUCGAGUCUUCACCUUCAUCACAAUCCAAUGACAAUGGAGAAAAGCAAACCAUGGUGGACAUGAUAACAUUUUAUUGGAGUUUCAUAACAUCUUAUAUUACAAUACUAUUGGCCUUCAUAACUGUGUUGGGCAUCAAUCCACGUUGGCGUAUGGCCUGGUUUUAUUACAUCAGUAAGUUUAUGCGUAGAUUCUUUCCAUCUUUUCCAUUAUAUUGAUGAGUGUCCAUAGUUCCUGUUGAAACUUUAUGUGGAGUCUAAAAUAUUUGGAUACUGUAUUUUUUAUAUUUACCGUUAAUUCCAGACAGUUUGAGACAUUGGCUUUUAAGCUCCUCUUGUCAACUUUAUGUUCAUCAUGUUGUUUGUGUGAUGUACUUAUCUGGAGAACUUUGAAGAUAUUGUGAUAUAUUAUUUUUGAAGAUCCAAGAGUUCCUCAAAUAGCUCUGAGACCUGUUUCAAAGAUCCAUCAAAUGACGUUCUGCAGCCAUUGACCCGGCAGCAGCCAUUGAUUCUGUGACAGGCCCUAUGCUAGAGUAUUAUUGAAAAGACGAAAAGAAAACGAGCAAAAACUGUUUUUUACUCGAGAGCAUGCUCUGUCGAUGGAAUCAUUCCCUUCUAGAGAGCCUUGUGUACAAUACUAACUCCAAUGCCAUUAAUAUUUGCCUUUAGUUUUCUUUUGUCAAUAAUAAUUCUUCAAGCACCAAAUCGGUCCAUGUCUAAGCCACUCAAAUUAAUCACUAACUCUAUUAAUAUUUCAAAUUAUUCAUUUUUUUUAUCAAAAGUUUCUGAACCAGAUCCUUCGACAUGUGACAAAAACAUAAAGAAAAGGUUCUAAUUGACAAACUUUUGACUAAGUGCUUUUGUAAGUAAUUCAUUAUGAGACCCUACGUUUUACAGUUGCUUUCAUAAUGUUAUUGUUUUUUCAUUGAAAGGUUUAGCUCUCGUAUUAACACUUUAGUUGUUUUCUAUAAAAGUAACUUCUUAUAUUUUUCAAAUAACUGGAAUGUCAAUGUAGGUUGAAUCUGGGUGCAGAACUAUGACAGAAGCGAUAUUACGAGUAGAUUUACACAUUUGUCUUAAAAUGACCGAAAUUAAUAAAUAGGUAAGAGUAUAAUAGAAAAAUUAGCAUUAAUGUUUUAUUGUUACUGUAAAACAAUUAUUUUUUUAUUUGUCCUCGUGAGUUUAACUCAGUUGGUAUAGAUAAUGUAUAAUAUAUGUAAGGUCCAGGUUCAAAUCCCAGCCAAAAAAAAAAAAAAAAACAAUUUCUUUUUUCUUUCCUGAAUUAUAAUUUGAGAUGGAGAGAGUAUUAAUUAAACUAGUAAUGUUAACAUACGUAUUUAAUCUUGCAAGAUAACAUUAGCAUCUUUGUCAAAUAUCAUCAUCUCUAGUCAACUCCAAGUCUUUCCUGAGGUUCCAGGAAGUUUCUUGCAAUUAAAAAGUCCCAUCUUUUUUUUUUUAGCAAAGACAAAAUUAAUGCAUUUCAUUCAAAAACAAAAAGUAACAAAGUUGAAGGUACACUAUAAAAAAGAUGGGGGCUAAGAUGAGAUAAGGAAGCUCUAGCUAUACUAUGAGCAACCCUAUUAGCUUGUCUCCUAAUAUACGACACUUUAAAGUCGGUAUUUGUAAACAAGAGACCUCUACAUUGAGAAAUAAUGUCUCCAACUUCAUUGAGGUGAGCGGAGGUAGUGUGAAUGGCAUCAGCAAGGGUCAUACAAUCUGUUUCAAAGCGGACAGUUUGAAAUCCCAAAGAGAUUGCCAAUUUUAUCGCCUCCGACAAUGCAGUAGCUUCAGCUUCUAAAACAGUCAUCGAGGAUGGAAAAAAUGCAGAUUUUGCAAUUAAGAGUUUCCCCUCCGAAUUUUGAAAACAGAUUUCAUAUCCAACAAUUGAUUAUGGUGGAAAAUUGCUGCGUCAACGUUGCAUUUUAUCACACCGGAAGGCGGUUUAACCCAAGAGAUGAUGUGGUUUGAAUUUUGAACCUGUAGUUUAGCUCUUUACAUACAAGUCCAUUCGUGGAGUGUAUCCUUUGCUCGAGUAAUAACAACAGUGGCUGGUGUAUUGGAAGACUCCCAAAGUCCCAUCUUUUAGUAUAAGGUGAAUACAGGAAUUUGGGGCAAGACCGAAAAGUCCCAAUAUAAUUGAUUCUUGCAGGAAAGAAAGACACUUACAAAACUAAAUGAUAUUCACCGUCAAUUUACAGAUUUUUUACACUCGCAAUUGUCAUAUCAUUAAAACCAUUUAACUUCAUUGAUAACUACUUCUAAAAUUACAUAAAUAUGAUUUGAUUGUGAUUUGUUAAUAAUAUAAUAUUUUUAAAUUGACAGUGUAUAUAAAAAAUUAACUAUGGCUACAUCAAGGUUUAUUAUAUCAUAGUUUAAAAAGUGAAUACUUUUUCCUCUCCUCACUGAUUCCAUUUUUUUUCUUCCGAUGUAAGCAUGAAUCGAAAGUUUUCAGUUUGAAGAGAAUAAGAAUUUUGGGGAGUUCUCUGAUUUUCCUUACCCUGUUAGCUCAAUUUCACUGACUUAGAACAUAGAAGAGGAAUGGAAAAUUCAAAUACAAAAUCUAGGCAAUGGCCAGCAUUUUAAGUAUAAUAGAUGGGGAAAAAAAGUAUUUAGAAGGAAAUAAUUAAGAUUUAUUGAUAUUGAAAAAAAAAAUAAGAUUUAUUGAUAUUGUAAAAUGAUAUGUAAAAUGAUAUAUAUAGUUUCUAAACUAAUUCAUAUAGUUACUAUUAUAGUAUUUUUGAAUCCUCAUGAGGACAUUAUUGUUCUUCCUAUCAAUCAAGUUAAGAAAUUAAUUCAUAUUGUUUAAACUCAACACCCUCGAGACUAGGGUUUCUAGUGUCAUAAAGAAUUGACUGAAAAGAGAAAUUUUAUUUGGUUUAAUCGAAAGACUCUAUUAGGACAGUCAUGAUACUAAUUUGCUUAUUAUAACUUUGUAGCUACAUAAGAUGGAUGACAAUACAGUGUUUCUUAAUGACAACAUUAAUGAUACAAUAUGGUGCAACUGAAGAAAACUUUCGUGUCAAUUGAUAUAAAAGUAGAUGAUUUGCAAAAUCAUGUAAUCCACUUAUGAGUUAAGAAAUUUGUCUCUUUAGUGUUACCAUAAAUUUUGAUAAAGUAAUUGUCUCAUUUGGUUUUGAGAUAAUAUUAUGAAGAAUUGUGGAUUUAGUAAGCUCAGUGGGGGUAAACUUAUAUUUCUAGUUUAAUGUGCCGGUUUUAUUUUAUUUAGUCAACUAUGAUAUAUGUUCGUUGUGUGAAACCAAGAAAUCUCUAACAAAAGUUUGGUGAUGAAAGAUCUUAGGGACACCUCUUUUGUUUAAGCAUUUUUGAUACUUAGAGAUACUUCUCAAGGUAUCCUUCAGAUGAUGUCACAAAAGAAUUAUAUCAAUAAAGUUGAAAAUGAAAUGACAUAAUUUUUUGGAUGAUCUCAAUCACCGAGAGAGACUUUUCAGUCUCAAAUAUUGCCCAAUUAAAAAAUUUAUGAAUUCAUAAAUUUAAGUAUUUUCCUACAUUUUACCUAUAGGAUUUUUAUGUAUGAUUUUAUUAUACACAUUUGGAAAUAGCGUAUUUAAUGAGAUUGAAAUAUGAGAGGGGAAAGGAAAAGGUUAGAAGAUGUAGGGUAAAACUGAUUCUCAUUGAUUAACUACAUUGAUACAUGGCAUAUAUAGAGUCGUAUGAAAAGUUAGUUGAUAACAAACUAGCUUACUUGCCAAACAAGUAAGUCCAUAACUAACUAACAGACUAAUGAGAAUAAAACAAUGUUAUAUACCUAACAAUCACUCCCCUUGUUUGAAAAAUACUUCUAGCUUCAAAGGUUUAGUCUUGAUGUCUGCUGGUUGAUUAAUGUUUGAACUAUAAUAAGCAAAUUCCAUAACUCCUUCUUUUGUUAAGACCCUACGAAAAUAUAUGUGAUAUCUAUGUGCUUACAUCUUCCAUGCAUUGAAAGAUUCUUUGACAAUUUUCCUGAUGAAUAUAUGUACUACAGAUCAGGGCUGGCCAUGGACCUGUGCAAACAGUGCUACGACACAGGACUUCAAAGUUUUGAGGGCCUAAAUUUUAAAGGUCAAAAUUAUGAGUUAUGAUCUUCUUCAUUUUCCUUAUUUAUUACUAUAGCUUUGAAGAUUUUUAAAGUAUAUAUUAAAUAAUAGAAAAUGUUACGAAUGUCCACGAAAUAUUCUUUAAAGUCUUUAAAUUUGUGUAUUCAAUUAUGGUUUGAAAUUAAAGUAUUUUAUUUUCUAAGGAAUAAUUUCUUAAUUUGAUAUUCUUAAUGAGGACCUCGGAGACACUCGUUGGUCGUUAGUAGAACCUUUAAAUAAUUAAGGGCAAAUUACACUCACCUCUCUUGAGGUCUCUUUAAACAACACAUAUACCCCCUCUAGUUUUCAAAAACACUCACCUCCCCUCUAAACUAACUCUGCUAGCCUAAAAUGUUGAUUCUUAACAACCCUGAUUCAUUCCAUUACAGAAAAACUCCACUACAAUGAAAUCUUUAUCUACCGUGUAAAUUUAUAGGUUCGUCACCGGUAUUCAUACAUUCCACCGCUAUGGGCAACUCCAAAUCAAUUUCACCAUUCUCUAAACAAUUCUUAAAAGUAUAUCACUUUUAAAAAAGCGUACCGCACUAGCUAGAUGUACAUAGAAAGCAAGAACCAAUUUUUGACUUCAAGCAGGGCCCAAGUAAAAAGCAAAGCAUUGAAAUCAUUGCAAGAGCAGAAACGACCCUGCCAACAAUCAAGAUUUAAAAAUAAUUGCUGUUUUCUUUAGUGAUUAGUUACAUAAUGGAGUGUAGAAUGGUUACAAUAACAUAGAUUUUCAAAUCACUUAGAAUUUUAUAAUAUAGUUUAGGCACGGUCAUCACAUACCUAAUUAGUGAUUUAAAUUUGAUUUUUUAUAGUGAAAGAAUCUAUGUUUCUUAUGAUUUAUAAUUUUUUAACGAGUAAACAACAAUUUUGUUAUCUGAAUAUGUGACAAAUUAUCACCAUAGUCUUUGAUGUAUCGAAAUUACAAAUGCAUCUUCAAGUGUAUCUUUAAUUAAUCAUUAUCAUCUUCAAACAUAUUUCGUCGUUUAUCAUUUUAGUCCUUAAAAUGUAUCUUUAGUGAUGAUUUAUUAAUAUUAUAAAAUGUGAAAUAACUGGUACAAACUUUUUUACAUCUCAAUCAACCAACAAAUCCGUCCAAAAGUUAGAAUCUCUUCCAUCUCUUAUGACCUUUCUUAAAUUUCCCUCAAAUCACCCCGGUAAUGAUGAUAUAGACCUUAAAUCCCUCCACCAAACUGAACCAAUGUUUCUUACCAAAUUCAAACUAUCAUCAUAUUUGGCGUUUGUCUUUUAGCCCUAUUUUCUAAACAAACAAACAAACAUAAAUAAGUUGUAAAAAAGAGAGAAUUGAACUUAAAAUCUUAAGAUGAGUGUACUUUAUGAUCUCAAAUCAAUACCACGAGACACACUCAAAUGAGUUUCCACUUUCUAUUUCUCAUUGUUUCUAAUCUAUCCAUCCAUGAAGCACAAUACUCCUCGGGUUAAGGGUGUGUCCCGGUGUGAAAUAUGUAUCGUGUCCCACACCAACACCGACACCGACACAUAUCUCCGUGUCGUAACUGCAUCUGAGUUUGUGCUUCACAUCCUUCCAUCAACAUCAAUUCUAAGAGUAUUUUACAGAUCCACAUCCUAUGCAAGAAAUCACCCUUUCAUUGACCUUGCGAGUGUAUAUCCCCUCAAUUCUAUCCCAAAGCUUUAAAACAAUCAAGGAGCUCAAUUAUGCUUUGAGAAGACACUAACUAAUAGUAACUAAGGUCAUGGAAAUGGGAAGUGAAGUCAUUGAAACUCAACAAGACAUCAUUAAGUUGCUCCCACAAUGAAAUUGGAUCAAAUUCAAAACAAUCUCCAUCAUGAUCGUAAUAUGGAAUUAAGGAUGUGAUUUUGUGAUACAAUUUUUUUUGUUUCUUUCUUCAAAUUUACAGUAACUCUUUACAACUAUUACACACAUAUUUAAUAAAAUUUUACAAGCUUGUUGAAUUUCAAAAUUCAGUUUUAAGAUGAAAAUCAUACCCAUGAUAUCAAUAAAACUUCACUCCAAUUCAAAAUUAACUCGAUAUAUACACUUUUGAAAUAUAUAAAAAAUAAAUAAAAACAUCUUAUUGUAAACUUAUUUUUGAUUAAAUCUUAUAAGAUUUUAACAUAAAAAAUCAAUGUAAAUAGUUAUUCUAAAAAUAUCAUAUUAUAUCUAAAAUUUAUACUAUAUAUAAAGAAAACUACCCCUUUCAGCAUUUUAGGGUUGUAUUUUUUCUUCCAAAAAUACCCUAAAUUUUCAAAUACAAAUAACACAUGUAACAAACAAAUAGAUAAAAAUAAAUUUAAUAUUAAAACAAAUAUAACAAACACGAUAUGAAUAUAUAUAUAUCUUUGGUUUUUUUUCUUUUUCAUUUAAUAAGUGUAACAAACUAGAUGAGGAUAUUUAUACUUACUUUUACAUUAUUUCAAUUAAAUCCUCAAACAACUUUUUCUAUAAUAAAUAUUGUUAUUGGUUUCAUUAAAAUAAAAGAAUUUUAGAUUAUAUUUUUUUUGUUAUAUUGUUGGUGUAAUUGAAAUAGAUAAUCAUGGUUAGAUUGCUUUGUUAUAACUUGAAAAUAACAAACAUUUAUAUUUUUAAUUUUAAUCAAAAUAAAAUUUCAUAAAAAACAUCGUUCAUAAUUUUCAAAUGUUAGCGCAAUAAAAAGAGCGGAAAGACAGACAGGUGAGUGCCCGUCUUUUCGCUAGUCAUCAAUAAUGUAAGUGUACUGAAGUUUUAUCCAUUCUCAAGUUAUAUCACUGCCACAAAUUGUUCUAAACAAUUGUUUCAUUUAAUUAAGAAAUGUUAAAUAAGUCCCUUAAUAAAAAAUGAGAAUAUUUAACUGAAAAUUGAUUGGCGGUUUCACUCGCUAUCGGCAUUUGGUGGAACACCUUAAUCUUACUUAUCGGUAGACCUUUCCGUGGUCCAAUUCUUAAUUAAAGUAUCGAUUAUUAGGACUUAAGUCCAUGAGAAGAGCCUCAUGGUUUAAAUGACGCAUCAAGCACUUUGGUCUACUUGAUUUGGGACUCCUAACAUAUUCUUUGCAGCUAUAACAACGUUUCUUCGCAGCUUGAUAAGAUUUUGUGGCGGUAGUUUACGUGAUUUUUUUCUUCGAUAUAUUAAAACGGAAAACAAAGGUAUCAGACACUACCUAUACCUCUUUGCCAUAUCCAUUUUUAUGAUUACUGAUUGUAUUUUUAGAACCUUGGCAACUACUACCUCUGUCGUAAAUUAUAAGUUGUUUUGGUCAUUUCACACGUAUUAAAAAUUGAAAUUAAUUUGUAUAUGAAAGAGAUAUUAUGAGUUGCUUUACACAAUUAUCUUAAUAAAUAGUAUCAGAAAAAUAAAUUAAAGAAUUGAAAUGAGUAAUAUUAAUAAAUAGUUAAGAGUAUAAUAGAAAAAUUAUUACUAAUGUUUUUAUUGUUAUUGUAAAACAAUUUAUAAUUUGAGACAACUUUUUUUCCAUACUUAUAAUUUGAGACAGAGAGAGUAUUAAACUAAUAAUGUUCACAUACGUAUUUAGUCUUGCAAGAUAACAUUAGCAUUUGUCAUAUGUAAUCUUCUCUAGUCAACUUCAAAUCUUUCUUGUGCUUCGAGGAAAUUUUUUGCAAUUGAAAAGUCCCAUCUUUUAGUAUAAUAAUAUAAAGUGAAUACAGGAAUUUGGGGCAAGACUGAAAAGUCCCAAUAUAAUGAUUCUUGCUUGAAAAAAAAGACACUUACAAAACUGAAUGAUAUGUUAUCAUAUUUUUCGGGUAACAUCUUGCAAUUUUUACGAGUUUAAUUUAUAUGUGCCAUCAAUUUAAAGACUUUUUUAUGAUAACUACUUCUAAAAUUAUAGAUAUGAUUGAAUGUGAUUUGUUAAUAAUUUAACUUUUUUUACAUUGACGAUGUAUAUCAAAAUUAACUAUGGCUAUAUCAAGGUUUAUUAUAUCAUAGUUUAAAAAGUGAAUACUUUUUCCUCUCCUCACUGAUUCCUUAUUUUGUCCGAUGUAGGAAGGUCCCGAAAGUUUUCAGUUUGAAGAGAACAAGAAUUUUUGGGAGUUCUGAUUUUCCUUUCCCUAUUAGCUCAGGAAUGGAAAAUUCAUAUAAAAAAUCUAGGCAAUGGCUAAAACAGCAUUUUAAGUAUAAUAGAUGAGGAAAAAAAGCAUAAUAGAAGAAAAAAAAUUAAGAUUUAUUGAUAUUGGAAAAAAUUAAGAUUUAUUGAUAUUGUAAAAUGAUAUAUAAAUGGGAGAAAAAAAGUAAAUUGGGAGAAUUUUACUUCUUAUAACUUUAAUAAUCUUAUUUUAAACUGGUUAAACUUUUCUUAAUGACCGACGUUAGUAUAGUUAAUUACUUACCAUACUAUUUGUUAGAGGGAGGAGUUGAAUAAAUGACCUCUUUACCACUCAAUCCUUAUUGAAAGUAAUACGUAUUUAAAUAUCAUGUAAGAUAAGUUUAGCAUCUUUCUUAAAUGUCAUCAUCUCUAGUCAACUCCAAGUCUUUCUUUUGCUUGGAGGAAGUUUCUUGUAAUAGAAAAUAUCCCAUAAUUUUAGUAUAUAUAAUAUAAUAAUAUGAGAUGAUUAUAUGAGGUCGGGAAGAACUGCUCACAUUCCUAAAAAAAAUGAAGCUGGGUUUGAUAAAUAGUUUCCUUUUAUAUUUUGUGACAUUGAUGUUAAUGCUAACUCAAGGAUGUAACGGUUGCUUAGAGAAAGAGAGAAUAUCAUUGUUGGAGAUCAAACACUACUUCUUGUCACAAACAGGAGAUCCUUACAAUAAAUUGGGUUCAUGGGUUGAUGAUAGAGAUAGCAAUUGUUGUUCUUGGAACAAUGUCAAGUGCUCUAACAUCUCUUCGGGUCACAUAAUUGAAUUAUCCAUCCGAAAGUUACUAUUCGAUAUACCCUUUGAUAUGAAGUUAAAUGUUUCACUAUUCCGUCCAUUUAAAGAGCUACGGCUCCUCGACUUGUCCUACAACUCCUUUCUAGGCUGGAUUGGCAACGAAGGUACUACGUUCGUCCUUAUAUAUAAAAUUUCUUUAAUAAACUUAUACAAAUUAAAAAAGUUCAUUAAUUUUUAUUUGUUGUGUUAAAUUUAUUAACAUUUUAAUUUAUAUUGUCAUAAUUAGCAAUAAUUGACGGGUGAGUUUAAGUUUUCUAAAAAAGAUUGUUAUUUUACAACAUGAAAAUUCAAUGUUCAAAUCUCAAUUAAGAGAGAUGUCAGUACUUUCUAUUUAUUACAAUAUCUUAUAUACGAAUUAAAAAUCAAUGAUCUUAUAAAAUUUGGUGGGAUCAAUAUAAAUUUCAACCAAUACAAACAUAAGUGUUGUAAAUAGUAUAUCACUAGCAUAAUUAAAAAAUACAUAAUACAAGAGAGAAUUUUCUUAUAGGUACAAGAGAGAUAUUUUUACUGAAGCCUUUUAUAGUGUUGUAAAAAGUGUGGUAAAUAGUGUGUUACUAGCAUAAUUAAAAAAAUAUUGUUAUAUUUGUCGUUGUAUCCAUCAAUUUGGUCUCUCUAAGAUAGUCUCAGAUACUAAUUAAAACUAUGAAAGUGUUUAUAAUUUUACGAUGAUUUUAUAAAUUCUUUAAUUUUAGGAUCGAGCUCUGUAAUUUUUUAGGCCAAUUGAGGGAUUAAUUUUUCUAUUUUAUUGUUCUCUUUCAUUUAUUAAUUUUUCUAUUUCAUGGUUCACUGUUUUUUUGUUCUCUUUCAUUUUUCAUGACUUUUGUUUCCAUAUUGUAACAAAUUUAAAAAUAAACCAUUGACAUAAACAUUUUUCAUUAAUCACUGUAUUUUCCCUUCAUUUUUCGUGACUUUUAUUUCUCUUUUGCAACAAAUGCUGAAAUAAACUAUUAACAAGAAACUGUUUUCAUUAAUCAUGUUUCUUUUGAAGGGUUUCCUAGACUUAAAAGAUUGGAGACAUUAGAUCUUUCAGGGAACUAUCUAAAUAGUAGCAUUUUGCCAAGUUUGAAAGGAUUGACUGCUCUGACAACUUUGAAGUUGGUUUCCAAUUCGAUGGAAAACUUCUCUGCUCAAGGUACAUUUUGUUUCAAUAAUUUAUUUAUGGAGUUUAUGUGAUGAAGUGAAUGAAUUAGAAUACAAUUAUAAGAUCCCCAAGAAAAUAUAAUUUUUAACGAUAAUAAGAGACUUUAAAUAAAAUGAAAAAGUGGUUAUGAAUCAUCGGUAGGAAUUGAAAUUAAUUAACAAAAGCUUUUCAUUAUGUAUAUAUAUUGUUGAAGGAUUUUCGAGAUCAAAGGAGUUGGAAGUCUUAGACCUUUCAGGAAAUAGGCUAAAUUGCAACAUAAUAACAAGUUUGCAUGGAUUCACAUCAUUAAGGAGUUUGAUUCUGAGUUACAACAACUUCAAUUGUUCUCUCUCCACUUUAGGUAAACAUCUUCAAUUCUUAUAUUAUGACGAAUGAUUUUAUUAUCAUUUAUUAAAAAGAAAUAAAUUAUGUCCUUGCAACAGAUUUUGCCAAAUUUAGUCGGCUAGAACUAUUGGACUUGGGUGGUAAUCAAUUUACUGGUUCUCUACAUGUUGAAGGUACUUUUACUGUUAUUGUUGUUUCAAAUAUUACAAAGAAACACAAAAUUUAUUAUUACUAUUUAUGGCAAAACAAUUUAUAUAUAGGAAAAUUUCUUCUAUUUGAGAAAUUCAGACUUUGUUUAGGAAUUUAAAAUCCACAUUAUAAAUCAUAUUCUCAAUAGAAACUCUAAGUUAAUGAGUUUACAAUCUCUAAUUAAAUUCAAUAAAAUAAUUCUCCACACAAUUCGCCACAUUAUAAAUCAUAUUCUCAAUAGAGGCUUCCAUAAAUAUUUCCACAAACCUGCAUUCUCAUCCAAAGGUGGUUAUGGACUUUGUCUAGCCAUUUCCUCUUUGACGCGAUAGUAUGCCGACUUCAAUGAGUAAAUGCCAUCGUUAUGCAAAAUUAAGUUCAGGAAAAACGUGAGUAAUUUUGGCAGAAUAAAAAUAACAAAGACAUCAAGCCUCAAUUCUAUCAAUAAUAUAACCUUAUCGUUUAAUGCUAAUACUUUGACACCAAGUCAAACAUAAUCUGUUCUUCAAAAAUAAUAGUCAAACAUAAUUUGAAUUUUUUUUUGGGGAAUAGUUCUUACCGAUUUAUUUAUUGAAAAUUAUAUCUCUAACUAUGUACUCUCUUUUUUUUUCUUCUGCAGAUGUUCAACAUUUGAAAAAUUUGAAAAUGUUAAGUUUAAACGAUAAUCAAAUGAACGGCUCAAUUGAAGGUAUCAAUACUACCAAACACAAAUAAUUAAUUCAUAAUUGCUUCACGGGAUGGUUUUGGGGAUCGAUUGUUACAAUGAAGAUAACUUUUUUUUUUAUUUUAAAUUUUAAAUAAUUAACAAAAACAACGAAAUAAGUUAAUUAAUGUAUAUAUUGACGCCAUUGGAAAAACUUUUAAGAUUUUUAUGAUAAUGUCAAUUUUUGUAAAGAUGACAGGACAUAGUUAAUUAUGACAGGACUAUGCAAUUUUAAGGAUUUGGUAGAACUGGAUAUCAGCAAAAACAUGUUUAGUGCUAAACUUCCAGAUUGUUUAAGCAACUUAACAAACCUCAGAGUUCUUGAACUUAGUAAUAAUCUGUUCAGUGGAAAUUUUCCAUCUUUCAUUAGCAAUCUCACAUCACUGGCAUACUUAUCCUUCUAUGGAAAUUACAUGCAAGGAUCAUUUUCAUUGAGCACUUUGGCUAAUCAUUCCAAUCUUGAGGUUCUAUAUAUUUCAUCAAAAAACAAUAUUGGAGUAGACAUUGAAACUGAAAAAACAAAGUGGUUUCCUAAAUUUCAAUUGAAGUCACUUAUUGUUAGAAAUUGCAACCUAAACAAGGACGAAGGAAGUGUCAUUCCUACUUUUCUUUCAUAUCAAUAUAAUUUGGUAUACUUGGUCCUCUCCAGCAACAAUAUAAAUGGCUCACUCCCAAGUAAUUGGUUGAUACAUAAUGAUGACAUGAUAUAUUUGGAUAUAUCAAACAACAAUUUGAGUGGUUUGCUUCCAAAAGAUAUCGGUAUAUUCCUUCCUAAUGUUACCUAUUUGAACUUUUCAUGGAAUAGCUUUGAAGGAAAUAUACCUUCAUCAAUUGGUAAGAUGAAACAACUUCAACUCUUGGACUUCUCUCAAAAUCAUUUCUCAGGUGAGUUACCUAAACAACUGGCCACAGGUUGUGAUAAUUUACAAUACUUGAAGCUCUCCAACAACUUUCUACAUGGGAACAUUCCAAGAUUUUGUAAUUCAGUGAAUAUGUUUGGGUUAUUUCUUAAUAAUAACAACUUUAGUGGAACACUUGAAGAUGUAUUAGGAAAUAAUACAAGAUUAGAAACGCUGUCCAUAUCCAAUAAUUCAUUCUCAGGCACAAUUCCUAGUUCAAUUGGGAUGUUUUCUAACAUGUGGGCCCUUCUUAUGUCUAAAAAUCAAUUAGAAGGUGAGAUCCCUAUUGAGAUUUCCAGCAUAUGGCGGCUUCAAAUUUUAGAUCUUUCUCAAAACAAGUUAAAUGGAUCAAUCCCACCUUUAAGUGGUUUGACUCUUCUAAGGUUCUUGUAUUUGCAAGAGAAUGGUCUCUCUGGAUCAAUCCCAUAUGAACUCUAUGAAGGCUUCCAACUACAACUUCUAGAUUUGAGGGAGAACAAAUUUUCAGGAAAAAUUCCCAACUGGAUGGAUAA